UAAUCUUCUUUGAACUAGGGUGCGCUAUUCUAGUGCGUAAAAUGACUGUCGAAGGCGGGCCUAAGAAUCCGCUAAGGGCAUACCGAUGAAGUUCCUGGUGGUGGCUUUCGACGCCCAGUCGAGGGUUGCUGCUGGGAGUUAAGGAUGAGGGGGAUCUGCAAUGGCAUGCGGGCGAUACCCUCUUCCGUGGAGGCCUAAGUUCGUGGCUGCUUUUGGUUACGGCUUGGGGUAUGAACCUGCAUUAGGAAGGAACUUAGUGCAGUGUAGCCUGCCUUGAGGUGGAGAAGUUGGGAGGGCUGAAGGAACUUUAAGUUCAUUGGCCGAUGAGCUUAAGUUUGCCUGAAAUUCUUUUCUGCAAAAGAGGCUAGACCGUCACGGAGCGUGAAGGAAAACUUCUAGAGCGAAAACCAACGAGGAUUAAAGUGCGUUCUUAGUGGCGAUCAAGUGCUGGAAAUGGUGACAUUCUGGGCUGAGGGAAAAGGGAAACCGCCUGUCAGGAAACUGCAGGAGCUCAGUGGGAAAACCUACUUGACCUAUGGCGCAAUAUUUAUUCGUUGGUGUCCUAAGGUUCAAAGAGCAGCA
Molecule: small RNA, 582 nt
Filed under: Desulfitobacterium sp. LBE
Lineage: Bacteria; Bacillati; Bacillota; Clostridia; Eubacteriales; Desulfitobacteriaceae
Source: RNAcentral